GAUGAAGAACGUAGCGAAAUGCGAUAAGUAGUGUGAAUUGCAGAAUUCCGUGAAUCAUCGAAUCUUUGAACGCACAUUGCGCCCGCUGGUAUUCCGGCGGGCAUGCCUGUUCGAGCGUCAUUUCAACCCUCAAGCCCCCGGGUUUGGUGUUGGGGAUCGGCUCUGCCCUUCUGGGCGGUGCCGCCCCCGAAAUACAUUGGCGGUCUCGCUGCAGCCUCCAUUGCGUAGUAGCUAACACCUCGCAACUGGAACGCGGCGCGGCCAUGCCGUAAAACCCCAACUUCUGAAUGUUGACCUCGGAUCAGGUAGGAAUACCCGCUGAACUUAAGCAUAUCAAUAAGCGGAGGA
Molecule: unclassified non-coding RNA, 348 nt
Filed under: soil metagenome
Description: partial contains 5.8S ribosomal RNA, internal transcribed spacer 2, and large subunit ribosomal RNA
Rfam family: 5.8S ribosomal RNA (bases 1-120)
Source: RNAcentral